AUGAAACCCUAAAACCUGCCCUCUUCUUCUCAUUUCGACCAAAAGAAAUCAACAUGGUCACUCAACAAAGCUCCUUGUCGCUCCUUUACCUCAGAUAUGUGGUGAUUUUCCUAAUCGCUCUUCGCCUUCAUCCGAAAAACUUGAGAGAUCGUUUAAAGAAAACUAGCAUCAUUUGGAAAAGUUUGAAUAUAUACCAGAGCGGAUUCAAGAUGUGGAAGCAAACGUAGAUUUAGUCACAUUGAUCAUAUAGGCCAGCCUUCUUCUUGUUCAUCAGUCUCGCCACGUCGAUGGUAUUAAAAAAAUUAUAAUUUAUAUGACUAUCUCUUCAUUUUAUGCAUUUUUAAAUGUUUGAUGCAAUUUUAGGUUUAAAUUACCUUCAUUGUUUAUGAAUUUCAAUUUCGAUAUAUUACAUAUAGUAUAAACUCGGUGUGCAUUUAAAUUGGUCAGGCAUUCUGGAGUGGUGCUUUAGAUUGGGUUUUGAAAUGUUUGUGCUUGAUUUUGUUGGCUUUUAGAUUAUUUGUGCCUAGUAUAAGUAAUAAAUAGCGAACUUUGUUUAUUGGCUAUCUUUAUGCCUAUUGAUUACAAUUUUAUAAUAGAUUGUAGUCUAUUAAUCAACCACUCAUGCAUGCCAAAUUGCUUUUCAAGGAUCAUAAGUCUGGGAGAAAAUGAGGAUCGGAUCGUUCCUUUUGCUAGAAAGGAUGUUUCAGCAGGGAAUGAGUUAACCUUUGAUUAUAGAUUUGAACCUCAUCAGAAUGAUGAGGCUAAAGUCCCUUGUCAGUGUGGAGCUCCCAACUGUAGCAAAUUCAUGAAUUAGAAUAGCAUAGGUAGAUAGAUUAUUGACUAUUCCUCAUCCUAACUGUUAGAGGAUUGUGGGGAUAUUUUGUUCUUCUCCCACCCUCCAAUUUACUUUUAAUUUGAUUCUUUUGUUUAUGCUUAACAUGCAAAUAUCUAUAUAACUUCAUUAACAUGUAAGAAUAGUGAAAGUUUUUCGUCUUCUUUAAUCUGAUGAAGAUAUUAUAAUGUAGCAUGUUAAUUAUUGUGUUUUUCAUCGUUUCCUCGUGCUAACAUGUUCCACACAUAGAUAUAUAUCUCAAAAACAAUAUUGUACAAACAGAUUUAACUUCUUGCAAGAACAUUGGAGGUCAUAAAUGUUUUAUGUCCUCAUAUAAACUACGAUAUACAGUGGUACAAUAGCAAAUUGACGAAAAUAUUUUACAUAGAGAUGAUGAGAUUAUAUUGACGAUGAUUCAUGGACAUAGAAGGAGCAACACCUCUAGUACUUGUAUCAUCCAUUGACGUAAUGAAUCCUAAGCAACCUAGUACCCCUAAUUUCUUGUAUGGAAAAAAUGUUUUCCUCUUCAUCUCUUCGGAAAAUGGCCUAUUCAACGUGUAAUGCAACUCAUGAGCCUAAAUCUCCCUCCUCCUUCUCAUAAAGGAGGUUGAUACUGAUGAUGAUGCAACACUGCUAGAAGUUGAUUUGAAGCUUGAAGUCUUCGCAUCCUCCUCCUGCUCGCGCGUUUCUUCAAAAACUUGUUUAAUUGAUCUUUACUGCUCGCUCUACCCUCAGAACCACUUCUGAAUAGGAAUAAAUCUUCCAGUUUCCAUUUUAUGUACCAGAGUGAUAUCGAUGAUGAAACAGAACACAAAGAGUAUGGGCUAGUCUUUGUGGACCCCUGAUUGCUUUCGUGAUCAAAUACCAGAUCAGGAACAAUUACAUUGUUUUACAAUCUUGAAGCCUAGUUCUUCUUUCAUUUUUCUCUAUUUCCAUUUUUCGCUGAUUAUACAAUUACAAUGUUUUUACAUACAAAUAAACUAACUUAAAAUGAGUUUUGAUGCUACUGCUUUCAUGAACAAGAUUUGUGACUGCAUCAGCUGCCCAUUGAAUGACACCAUUGACUGCUCGAGAGUUCUAAGCAUCUUUUUCCCUCUUCAGCAGAUUUGCAAGAUGAGGCAAAGCUCCAACAUCAACAAUCAGUUGUUGGUGCUCCAGCUGUAAGACAUAAAAUUUAAAAUAUAAAGAAAAAGAGUAAAUAUCUACUACUCUGAUAGAUGCAAGAAUUAAGAACUAUCUAUGGUAUUUAUAUUUCACAUUUACAUUUCCUCUAUUAUUUAUAUUUCUGAUUCACAACAGUUUUCUCUGUCUUGAAUAGAUCAAUGAUUUGCAUAGAUCACCUGACUAGUCUGUUGAUCAAUUAAAUCUCUGCUCUUUCUUAGUUUUAGGAAGGAGAAGAUUUUGUAUGGCUCAACCAAUGGAGGUAUGAAUUCUUAAAACUUUACUAGUAUUUUCUUAGAUAAAAAUAUUCAUCAUGUGUAAUAUAGGUGGAUCAGAAACUAAUUUACCUUUCUCUAUGCCCUGUGUAUUUAUUAUCUUUAGGAAUUUUACCUUGUUAUCUAUAGUUUAGGCAUCUACUUACUCAAUUUGAUAAUAAUUUUUUAUUGCCUCAGGUUGACCUGGAACCAUCAGAUGGACCUUUGUUGGAAAUGAACGGUUUAGAUGAAUUCAAAUCUUUCUUACGUCACAUUCUAGAUCAUAAAUUCUAGUAAUAUUUCAGAUUGUAUUGAUGUGCUUUAUUUCUUUUUGCAUCUAACACUGGUUUCCAUAUGCUGUAAUUAAUAUUUUGUUUUUUGGGCUAUGAACUUGUUGCUAUUGGGGUAAUAAAUAGUGAACUUUCUUUAUUAUAUAUCUUUAUGCCAUUUGAUUAUAGUUUCCAAAUAGAUUGUAGUCUAUUAUGGUAUGAUAAACUUCUAGGAGAUUGGUUUUUCAUUGGAAUUUCAUUUUCUACUAGCUCAUAACAAAGGUAUGGAUGAUAUAAUGUCCAUUUUCAUACAGUUAUAUCGUGGUUUUACUUUUGUAGUUCUGUAUUUUUCAUAUGUAUAAUAAAACUACUUCUUUUGGUUCUAAUUUUGCAGCUAAAUAUAACAGCUAGUAUUGUAAGCAACUUCCCAAAUCCUAGAGACAGAAAUAAUGUUGUUUCAUCUCAAAAUCAUACGGAUUCUUCAAUCAAAAUUCAGAAUGAUACAGAGCAAUUGAAGAUAUAUCUUUCUUUCUAUUUUCCAUUGGAAAGAGUUUGUAUGCACAGUAAGUGACAUUGUUUGAUGUUUGAGAUUAUGCACAUUUUUCAUGUGAUAGUCAUCCUUGUUCUGAUCAGAUUUGGGUCCCUUCAAACCCAAAUCUGUAGCUUAAUGCUUGCUUUAGAAUUGAAUAUGCAAUACAAUUUCCUGUUUCUACCAUGUUGAGUACCAACUCUUGUAGACCAACAAUUCCUUAUAUACUUCGACUAAUUCCAAGGAAUACUAUCAUUUGCUACCAGUAACAUAUACCAUGUAACUCUUCUUACCAAUGAUAGAACAGAUGAGAAAGAAAUUAUCCAGUGUUUUUAUCUCUGUUGAUAUUUGAACUUGAGACCUCAUGAUUCUUGAUCCACUUCAUUGAUCACUUUGAUCACACUCUUGGGUACCAUUGUAUGUUAAUUUUUUUCACACAAUAAAUAAAGUAUGUAAGGCCCAAUCAUAUAAUUAAAGCAUAAUUCAAACUCUGGUUGAAUUUUAAACUCUUUGUCCACUUGGACUAUAAUUUUAUGGGACAACAGCUCUUGCAAAGUUUAGAUGUUGGACUAUAACCUUCCAAAUGACUUGUUCUAAAGUUCUAUUAAUGAAGUAUUUGGGCUUUAGCCUGAGAAAACAAGAGUUGGGUCAUCACAUUUAUUAAAGCAUACAUUCAAGGCAGAAUACAAAAUCCCUUCCUUAAAAUCGUCAAGUAAGUUUCAUUUAGACAUUUGAAUUGUGUCAUUGAAAAUAACUAAAAUGUUGGACAAUUCUUGAUGAUGCAGUAAGUUUAAUUGGACAAAUUUGCAAAAUGAGACUAUGCAUAUGCGAUAUGUUGUGUAAGGUGUUACUAAUACAAAUGAUUAUUUUGUGGCAGGGAUGAGCUUAGUUACUGUAAUGGUGAACUAAAUUCAAACAUUUGAACCAAUUACUGAUGAAAAUGCAGACAUCAAUAGCUUACUCAUACUGAUUAUUUAUAGAGAUAUACACUUCCACUGAGUGCAGUCACUAGAGAAUCCUUUUUUGAUAACCGAGAAAUCUCCAAGGGCUAGUGACACACGGGAUCUCGGUAGAUAAUAAGCCAACUCCUCUACCCUCCUCCACUUAAAUACCGUGCUUUUGUUCUGUGGCAGUGUUUGAACCCGUGACGUGCGACUAACCUACACAUCAGACGUUGUAGUCUAACCACUAUGCCAAAGCGCUUGGGGCUGCAUAAAUAGAGGUUUUUUUAUGCUAUUUUUUAUCUUUUUAUGUUACUUAGAGUGCAGGAGGCACUCCAAAAACCUGAAAUGGCUUGCUAGAAGUUCUGAAGGUCGUCCAUGAAGCCGGCCUGAUAUUUGAAAAUAGGUUUUGACCUCAGGUUCUUUUUUCUGCUGUCAUAUAUUUUAGCCAUAAUAUGGACUAGCUUUCUGAUGAGUAUCGCAUUUUGUUAAGAAAAUGAAUGUUCUGUGGAACUGAGUUAAAAAAAAAUAUGUCUGGUUUACCUCUAUUUAAUCUACAUCUACUGGUUUAGGAGUUUUAGUAGGUCUACGAAAAGUUUCUUGUUGGUCUGUUAUCCUCUGGUUCCAUCUUUUUGUUCACUCUCCAUUAUAGUAUACACUGCACGUUGUGCAUAGCAUUGCUCUUAAAUAGUUCUCACUUCUCAUUGUUGCUUACUGCCACUCAUGUGCAGGGUGUUGCCAUUACACAAUAGAACUCAUUUCUUGACAACACUUUUAGAAUUGAGUGUUGAUUAGCCAGAUUCCCUAUUUUUGAUUGGGUGGGCGGAAGAACCUCUAAAAUGUCUGCCUUUGGUUUACUUGCAGCUGCACUUCACCUUUGACACUCCUAAUAGAAGUUCAAUUAUGAAUAAGAUCUCCUUUCAUUCACUAAUUCAGAUUGUUGAUAGAAUUUCAUUUGUGAAUAAGAUUUCCUGGUGUUUAUGUUUAUACUAUUUUUUUCCAUUCACAGGUAAAUCAAGGGAUCAGUGUUUAUGGAAACAAAUGGAGCACAGAUCAACAUGCCUAUAUUCAACAACUACGAGAAGGAAAACGCCGGUAAUUGAAUUUGAAUAGUGGCCAGAAGUAAACUCUAUCUAUUGUAUUGAACGAUGAAGAGUGUUUGUACUAUUGUCAUAUUUAUUUGAAUGCAUUAGAUUUUGUGGAAUUUAUUGAUAGUAG
Long non-coding RNA from Solanum stenotomum, 5204 nucleotides. RefSeq lists it as uncharacterized. The record is from RefSeq and is a predicted model, not a curated record. Lineage: Eukaryota; Viridiplantae; Streptophyta; Magnoliopsida; Solanales; Solanaceae. The transcript has 3 exons.